GACGAACGCUGGCGGCGUGCUUAACACAUGCAAGUCGAACGGAAAGGCCCUGCUUUUGUGGGGUGCUCGAGUGGCGAACGGGUGAGUAACACGUUAGUAACCUGCCCUUGACUUUGGGAUUACUUCAUGAACCUGGGGCUAAUACCGGAUAGGCGCUCCUGCUGCAUGGUGGGGGUUUGAAAGGUUCGGCGGUUGGGGAUGUACUCGCGGCGUAUGGGUUUGUUGGUGUGGUAGUGGCUUACCAAGGCUUUGACGGGUAGCCGGCCUGAGAGGGUUACCGGCAACAUUGGGACUGACAUACGGCACAGACUCCUACGGGAGGCAGCAGUGGGGAAGAUUGCACAAUGCAGGGAAGCCUGAUGCAGCAACGCCGCGCGAGGGAUGAUGGCCUUCGGGUAUUAAGGCGCUUUCGCCUGCGACGAAGAGUGAGUGCAGGUACUGUGUAAAGAAGCACCGGCUAACUCCGUG
This 468-nucleotide ribosomal RNA is filed under the name uncultured bacterium. Its description in RNAcentral is "partial 16S ribosomal RNA". It matches the Rfam family "Bacterial small subunit ribosomal RNA", at positions 28 to 507 of the family's 1533-position model. The record is from RNAcentral.